GAAAUGCGAUAAGUAAUGUGAAUUGCAGAAUUCAGUGAAUCAUCGAAUCUUUGAACGCACAUUGCGCCCGCCAGUAUUCUGGCGGGCAUGCCUGUUCGAGCGUCAUUACAACCCUCAGGCCCCCGGGCCUGGCGUUGGGGAUCGGCGGAAGCCCCCUGCGGGCACAACGCCGUCCCCCAAAUACAGUGGCGGUCCCGCCGCAGCUUCCAUUGCGUAGUAGCUAACACCUCGCAACUGGAGAGCGGCGCGGCCACGCCGUAAAACACCCAACUUCUGAAUGUUGACCUCGAAUCAGGUACGAAUACCCGCUGAACUUAAGC
RNAcentral lists this unclassified non-coding RNA (320 nucleotides) under plant metagenome. RNAcentral describes it as "partial contains 5.8S ribosomal RNA, internal transcribed spacer 2, and large subunit ribosomal RNA". The stretch from base 1 to 105 matches the Rfam family "5.8S ribosomal RNA", at positions 50 to 154 of the family's 154-position model. The record is from RNAcentral.